Molecule: ribosomal RNA, 253 nt
Filed under: uncultured bacterium
Lineage: Bacteria
Description: partial 16S ribosomal RNA
Rfam family: Bacterial small subunit ribosomal RNA
Source: RNAcentral
UACGGGGGGAGCAAGCGUUGUUCGGAUUUACUGGGCGUAAAGGGCGCGUAGGCGGCGCCGCAAGUCGACUGUGAAAUCUCCGGGCUUAACCCGGAAAGGUCAGCCGAUACUGCGGGGCUAGAGUGCAGAAGGGGCAACUGGAAUUUCCGGUGGAGCGGUGAAAUGCGUAGAGAUCGGAAAGAACACCAACGGCGAAAGCACUCUGCUGGGCCGACACUGACACUGAGAGACGAAAGCUAGGGGAGCGAAUGGG